UGGCUUUCCUAUACAGCCACCUAAAAAUAGGAUUCCCUUUAGUUUUUCAAUUUCAUUUCCGUUGUUCUUCCCAUAUGUACUUUCCAGGAGCUUUGAAUACUCCUCAGAGUAAGUAUUUUUGCUUGUUGCCUUCUUGAAUUAAGCACUUGGUAUUGAUUCCCCCCUUCCCUGCAGUGGUAAACUCCAGUGGACAGCUCUUGCUGUGGUGGAUAUAGAGAUUGCUAACACUCCUUUUCCUAUCAGAUUUCCUAUCCCGAUUUGUUGAUAGGCAUUUCUUUUUUCUGGU
This 286-nucleotide long non-coding RNA is filed under the name Solanum tuberosum (potato). RNAcentral describes it as "long non-coding RNA (STUB_LNC008449)". Lineage: Eukaryota; Viridiplantae; Streptophyta; Magnoliopsida; Solanales; Solanaceae. The record is from RNAcentral.